CGAGGGGCAGCAUGGGACUUCGGUCCUGAUGGCGACCGGCGUACGGGUGAGUAACGCGUACGCAACUUGCCUCCAAGCGGGGGAUAGCCCCGGGAAACUGGGAUUAAUACCCCAUAGCAUCAUUUUAUCGCCUGGUAAGAUGAUUAAAGCUUAGGCGCUUGGAGAUGGGCGUGCGUGCCAUUAGCUAGUUGGUAAGGUAACGGCUUACCAAGGCUACGAUGGCUAGGGGGCGUGAGAGCGUGGCCCCCCACACGGGUACUGAGACACGGACCCGACUCCUACGGGAGGCAGCAGUAAGGAAUAUUGGUCAAUGGAGGCAACUCUGAACCAGCCAUCCCGCGUGCAGGAUGACGGCCCUAUGGGUUGUAAACUGCUUUUAUUUGGGACGAAAAUUACGGAUUUAUCUGUAACUGACGGUACCUUAUGAAUAAGCACCGGCUAACUCCGUGCCAGCAGCCGCGGUAAUACGGAGGGUGCAAGCGUUAUCCGGAAUCACUGGGUUUAAAGGGUGCGUAGGCGGCAUAAUAAGUCAGAGGUGAAAGCCCGGCGCUCAACGUCGGAAAUUGCCUUUGAUACUGUUGUGCUUGAAUC
This 591-nucleotide ribosomal RNA is filed under the name uncultured bacterium. Its description in RNAcentral is "bacterial SSU rRNA". It matches the Rfam family "Bacterial small subunit ribosomal RNA", at positions 63 to 648 of the family's 1533-position model. The record is from RNAcentral.